RNAcentral lists this ribosomal RNA (245 nucleotides) under uncultured bacterium. Its description in RNAcentral is "partial 16S ribosomal RNA". It matches the Rfam family "Bacterial small subunit ribosomal RNA", at positions 524 to 768 of the family's 1533-position model. The record is from RNAcentral.
GACGAACCGUGCGAACGUUGUUCGGAUUCACUGGGCUUAAAGGGCGCGUAGGCGGGCGUACGAGUCGGGGGUGAAAUCUUUCGGCCCAACCGGAAAAGGGCCCCCGAUACCGGACGCCUGGAGGGAGGUAGGGGCGUGUGGAACUUCCGGUGGAGCGGUGAAAUGCGUAGAUAUCGGAAGGAACGCCGGUGGCGAAAGCGACGCGCUGGACCUCUUCUGACGCUGAGGCGCGAAAGCCAGGGGAG